RNAcentral lists this ribosomal RNA (429 nucleotides) under Gemmatimonadota bacterium. Its description in RNAcentral is "Gemmatimonadetes bacterium partial 16S ribosomal RNA". It matches the Rfam family "Bacterial small subunit ribosomal RNA", at positions 355 to 776 of the family's 1533-position model. The record is from RNAcentral. Lineage: Bacteria; Pseudomonadati; Gemmatimonadota.
UAGGGAAUCUUCGGCAAUGGACGAAAGUCUGACCGAGCAACGCCGCGUGAGUGAAGAAGGUUUUCGGAUCGUAAAACUCUGUUGUUAGAGAAGAACAAGGACGUUAGUAACUGAACGUCCCCUGACGGUAUCUAACCAGAAAGCCACGGCUAACUACGUGCCAGCAGCCGCGGUAAUACGUAGGUGGCAAGCGUUGUCCGGAUUUAUUGGGCGUAAAGCGAGCGCAGGCGGUUUCUUAAGUCUGAUGUGAAAGCCCCCGGCUCAACCGGGGAGGGUCAUUGGAAACUGUGAGAAUUGAGUGCAGAAGAGGAGAGUGGAAUUCCAUGUGUAGCGGUGAAAUGCGUAGAUAUAUGGAGGAACACCAGUGGCGAAGGCGGCUCUCUGGUCUGUAACUGACGCUGAGGCUCGAAAGCGUGGGGAGCAAACAGG